RNAcentral lists this unclassified non-coding RNA (277 nucleotides) under Hevea brasiliensis (rubber tree). Lineage: Eukaryota; Viridiplantae; Streptophyta; Magnoliopsida; Malpighiales; Euphorbiaceae. The record is from RNAcentral.
GGACAAGUUGGUCAAAAAUCAUCUAUGAAGAUGAAAUGAUCAAAAUGCCCUCCGUUUAGCUUAUUAAGCCAAAAUCGCCUGUACCGAUUAAUUUAAUUUUCCUUGUGUUUUCUUAGCAAUUUAUUAUCAUCGAAACCCUAAAAAUCUUUCUCUAGAGUCCCAGAAAUUAUUUCACAGGGUUUCCCCCAGGUUUAAGGUUGCUAGCUAUCUUCACAUUAGCUUCCCGUUAUGUCACCCAUCGCUGGAGCUACGGCUCAUUUAACUUUGUUGUAUUUUA